GACGAACGCUGGCGGCGUGCUUAACACAUGCAAGUCGAACGGAAAGGCCCUGCUUUUGUGGGGUGCUCGAGUGGCGAACGGGUGAGUAACACGUGUGUAACCUGUCCUUGACUUUGGGAUAUCUUCAGGAAACUGGGGCUAAUACCGGAUAGGAGCUCCUGCUGCAUGGUGGGGGCUGGAAAGUUUCGGCGGUUGGGGAUGGACUCGCGGGUUAUUAGCUUGUUGGUGAGGUAGUGGCUUACCAAGUUUUUGAAGGGUACGCGGCCUGGGAGGGUGACCGGCCACAUUGGGACUGAGAGACGCCCCAGACUCCUACGGUAGGCAGUAGGCGGGAAUAUGGCACAAUGGGCGGAAGCCUGUUGCAGCAACGCCGCGUGCGGGAUGACGGCCUUCGGGUGAUAAACCGCUUUCGCCUGUGACGAAGCGUGAGUGACGGUAAUGGGUAAAGAAGCACCGGCUAACUACGUG
Molecule: ribosomal RNA, 468 nt
Filed under: uncultured bacterium
Lineage: Bacteria
Description: partial 16S ribosomal RNA
Rfam family: Bacterial small subunit ribosomal RNA
Source: RNAcentral